ACAUCCUGAUCGCGGUUACCAGAGAUGGUUUCCUUCAGUUCGGCUGGAUCAGUGACAGGUGCUGCAUGGCUGUCGUCAGCUCGUGUCGUGAGAUGUUGGGUUAAGUCCCGCAACGAGCGCAACCCUGUCCUUAGUUGCCAUCAUUAAGUUGGGCACUCUAAGGAAACCGCCGGUGAUAAGCCGGAGGAAGGUGGGGAUGACGUCAAGUCCUCAUGGCCCUUACGCGCUGGGCUACACACGUGCUACAAUGGCGGUGACAGUGGGCAGCAAACCCGCGAGGGUGAGCUAAUCUCCAAAAGCCGUCUCAGUUCGGAUUGUUCUCUGCAACUCGAGAGCAUGAAGGCGGAAUCGCUAGUAAUCGCGGAUCAGCAUGCCGCGGUGAAUACGUUCCAGGCCUU
This 398-nucleotide ribosomal RNA is filed under the name uncultured Sphingosinicella sp. RNAcentral's name for it is "bacterial SSU rRNA". It matches the Rfam family "Bacterial small subunit ribosomal RNA", at positions 984 to 1381 of the family's 1533-position model. Lineage: Bacteria; Pseudomonadati; Pseudomonadota; Alphaproteobacteria; Sphingomonadales; Sphingosinicellaceae. The record is from RNAcentral.